RNAcentral lists this long non-coding RNA (205 nucleotides) under Gallus gallus (chicken). The record is from RNAcentral. Lineage: Eukaryota; Metazoa; Chordata; Aves; Galliformes; Phasianidae.
CCGUUUAUUGCCACUAUUCUGUCUCCAAUUUGCAGGACUCCACAUCUUUCUGCUGGACUGUCAGACUCGAUAUAGGAAAUGAGAGGCGGAGAAGACAAGGUCUCAGUAGCAAACACGCUACCCUGGAGCUGUAUCCCAAACCCUACUAUGGGGUCAGCUGUCAGCACUACUUCUGUGGUUUCGGUGUGGACGACCUGCCCAGCCA